This is a long non-coding RNA of Drosophila ananassae, 2290 nucleotides long. RefSeq lists it as uncharacterized. The transcript has 4 exons. The record is from RefSeq and is a predicted model, not a curated record. Lineage: Eukaryota; Metazoa; Arthropoda; Insecta; Diptera; Drosophilidae.
UUCCCAUUUAUAGAGUCAAAUGACAAUGCCUCCAUUUAUAGAUCUUUAGAUAUAGAUUCAAACAACCCUGCCAUCAAGGUACUAUACAUUAUAAAGAUACUCAUAAACAAAUAUUAACCUAAAACGAUUAAAACCGCACGUCGUUCUUUAUCAGUAAAAAAUUCCGAUGCAGUCAUUUAUAAUUUAAAGAUUAUAUUAUGCCAUCAAAUAUAAGACUUGUUCGAUUUGAAGAUGUACAAUACAAUAGAGUUUAAAAUAAUAGAGAUAAUAGAUAUAAUCUACAAGAAUUUAAUAGCUUUAUUUUAACUUAGUUUUUCUUAUUAAAAAAUUAUAUUAAAAUAAUGUAAAAUUCAGAUAAACAUAAUUUUUAAAAGGGUUUAAGGAUCGAAGUCUUUAAAAGUCUAUAGGGUAUGCUAGAAACUUAUCAGAUAUAUAGUAAGAUAUAUCUGAUAUCUGAUAUGACAAAGAUUAACCUUCAAUAAGUUUAUUAUUUUGUCCUGCGAUAAAUAAAGUUCUUUCCCGUAGUUUUGCAACGUCUUGCUUAAUUGCAAAAAUUGAGGGCACGUCUCGUGAAACAGUACGUAUUUCGUUAGUUAGCUUUAAUCAACGUCACCCUUUUGAAUCUAAAAAAUACUGACGAAAUUAUAUGACGCUAUUCGAGAAACUACUCAGCAACCAGUUAAACCAUAAAAUCAGUACAGAUGUCCUACACUCACAUAAAAAACCAAACGUGAUCACAGUCAUUAUGAUAUCAUUACGAACAAGUGUAUUUAAAAAGUAGUUCAGGAAACAAAAGCCCUAGAAAGCUUUGUUUAUUUUUUCUGAAACAAGGCUUAAUCAUUGUUUAUUGUUCUUUUUGCUGAUUGGAUUUCGUAUUGUUUGGAUAUAUUUAAAAUAUUGUAUAUAUCGAAGAGUUGAGAUAAUCCAAACAAACUUCCAAGUGUUCUACAACAGCUGGGCACUUAAGAAUUAACAAUUUUCUCCAAUUUCGGACAAAUAUAUGGAUACUCUAGAAAAUAAAUAAUAAAUCAAGAAAAAACAAAUAUCAGUUACAUACAAACAAACGAAUUCUACUGAAAAUAUGACCCUUUUUGUCUUUAUCAACUGAGAAAAACUGAGAAAAUCAUGAGUUUUAGUUUCUUAUCUAAUGAGAGCACCGAUAAGGGGACUCGAAGUUUGACUAAUUGGACCUGAUUUGUUCCCAGACUGCAGUGGGAGUGGGCCAUGGGAGUGUACCUGAUGCAGUUACCAAUAAAUAAAUUAAAGCCAAAUGGUUCUCCAAACUCCAGAUGGAACCGGUACCUUCGGGUGUUGAGUGCGUCAGUGCGAAAUAAUGUUGUUAAUUAAAUUUAGCCACCGAUCCAGACUAAUGGAUUAAUGGAGGAGAUUCGCAUGUGAGGUUCGAAAUGAGUCAUAAAUGGUAAAAUGACGGAAAAUUUUAAUUCCGAAAUGAUCAUAACUGGUUGAUCAAAUAUUAGAGUUUUAUUUAUCACAUUUUUCUUAUUGUUUAUUCUUUUCAAAAUUAUCAAGCUUCUAUAUAUAAAUAUUUUAAAAUAUUUCAAUCAUCACACAGAGAAGGAAUAACUAUAUUUGGAUCCUUAAUUGUUUUGCAAAAUCUUUGUAAGCAAUUUUAAAUAUUUGUAUAGAUUUCAGUUGCUGGAAAUUUGUAAAACUGUUAAGUAAUGCCAAGCUUGCAAAGUAAUUGUUUAAAGUGCACAGAUCACUUUGCAAACUCACUUCAAAAAUGACUCACAAGCCCAUUAAGUUGGAAUAAAUUGUUUUUGUGAGGCAUUUAGACUUAAAAUUUCAAACAGAAACAGAAAUUAUUUAUGGACUUUAAUGAGUACAAUCUAGAUAUCAGAUGUACUAUUAUAUUGUGCUAUCCUUCGUAACUACACCUCCAAUAAAAAUGUUUACAUCGUAGAAUGGUUUUAAAAAACUUUAUGAAAACUCAAGCGGGUUUACCAGUUCUUAUUUGGGACUAAACAUUUACAAGGUCCAACAAUUAAAACUUAAAUAGAAUAUACUAAAGGUAACUUAAGUACGGGUACUUAGAAACUAAAUAAUACUAGGCAUUGCAACCACUGGUCGCUCCAUCGAAUGUGUAUAGUUGUGUUUGCAAGUCUUUCUGCUGGUGACAACACUUACAGCUAAUUAGUUAAUAAUAUUAAGUCACAUUUUGGCGAUAUUGGUCACUCUCGUUCGAAAUAAAAUAUAUGCAUAUAUGUAUAUCCGAAAGCUCCUCAAUCUUUGGCACAAAUACUGUAAGUACCCCUUCUUCUACAUCUUC